This 71-nucleotide transfer RNA is filed under the name Felis catus (domestic cat). It matches the Rfam family "tRNA". Rfam says of the family: Transfer RNA (tRNA) molecules are approximately 80 nucleotides in length. Their secondary structure includes four short double-helical elements and three loops (D, anti-codon, and T loops). Further hydrogen bonds mediate the characteristic L-shaped molecular structure. tRNAs have two regions of fundamental functional importance: the anti-codon, which is responsible for specific mRNA codon recognition, and the 3' end, to which the tRNAs corresponding amino acid is attached (by aminoacyl-tRNA synthetases). tRNAs cope with the degeneracy of the genetic code in two manners: having more than one tRNA (with a specific anti-codon) for a particular amino acid; and 'wobble' base-pairing, i.e. permitting non-standard base-pairing at the 3rd anti-codon position. Lineage: Eukaryota; Metazoa; Chordata; Mammalia; Carnivora; Felidae. The record is from Rfam by way of RNAcentral.
GUCUGGUUGGCUCAGUUGGUGGAGUGUGCAGCUCGGUCUUGGGGUUGUGGGUUCAAGCCCCACAUUGGAUA